UACGUAGGUGGCGAGCGUUGUCCGGAUUUACUGGGCGUAAAGCGCGCGUAGGCGGCUCUUCAAGUCAGGCGUGAAAGCCCCGGGCUUAACUCGGGAACUGCGCUUGAUACUGUCGAGCUAGAGUGUGGAAGGGGCGAUUGGAAUUCCGUGUGUAGCGGUGAAAUGCGUAGAUAUACGGAGGAACACCAGAGGCGAAGGCGGAUCGCUGGGCCAACACUGACGCUGAUGUGCGAAAGCUAGGGGAGCAAACGGG
This 253-nucleotide ribosomal RNA is filed under the name uncultured bacterium. RNAcentral describes it as "partial 16S ribosomal RNA". It matches the Rfam family "Bacterial small subunit ribosomal RNA", at positions 524 to 776 of the family's 1533-position model. The record is from RNAcentral.